This is a long non-coding RNA of Eurytemora carolleeae, 344 nucleotides long. RefSeq lists it as uncharacterized. NCBI's taxonomy places the organism in Eukaryota, Metazoa, Arthropoda, Copepoda, Calanoida, Temoridae. The record is from RefSeq and is a predicted model, not a curated record. The transcript is spliced from 2 exons.
UUAAUUAUUUAUAUUUUGUUUUUACAGACGGAUAUAUUCUCUGUAGUUCGAGUUAAAACUUCUAGUGAUAAUAUUAUCAGUUGGUUUAUGCAGAAUACAUCACAAUACUUCUCCAGAGCUUUGGUGCAGCUGAAGCCGCGGAGAAUAUUUCAGCAGAAGUAUUCUAAACUUUAAAUCUAUUAACAGACAGAUAAACAGAGAAACAGGCUGUUUUCUAUUUGUAUAUUAACAUGUUUUCGUGAAAUAAUUGUCUUAAUUAUUGUUAAUGUUGUUGAAAGGUUUCCGAUACAUAAUUUGUUUGGAAAAAAGAAUGAUAGUAAAUAAAAAACAUUUUUACAUGUUUA